RNAcentral lists this ribosomal RNA (497 nucleotides) under uncultured bacterium. RNAcentral's name for it is "partial 16S ribosomal RNA". It matches the Rfam family "Bacterial small subunit ribosomal RNA", at positions 28 to 507 of the family's 1533-position model. The record is from RNAcentral.
GAUGAACGCUGGCGGCGUGCCUAAUACAUGCAAGUCGAGCGAACAGACGCGGAGCUUGCUCCUCUGUCGUUAGCGGAGGACGGGUGAGUAACACGUGGAUAACCUACCUAUAAGACUGGGAUCAUUUCGGGAAACCGGCGCUAAUCCCGGAUAAUCUAGUGAUCCGCAUGGUGCAAUAGUGAAAGUCGGUUUUGCUGUCUCUUAUCGAUGGUUCCGCGCCGCAUUGGGUAGUUGGUAAGGUAACGGCUUAUCAAGGCAACGAUGCGUGGCCGACCGGAGAGGGUGAUCGGCCACACUGGAACUGAGACAGGGUCCAUGCUCCUACGGGAGGCAGCAGUAGGGAAUCUUCCGCAAUGGGCGAAAGCCUGACGGAGCAACGCCGCGUGAGUGAUGAAGGUCUUCGGAUCGUAAAACUCGGUUAUGAGGGAAGAACAAAUGUGUAAGGAACUAUGCAGGUCUUGACGGUACCUAAUCAGAAAGCCACGGCUAACUACGUG